AUAAUCCAGCUUAUCAUUUAUUUUUCCCUUCAAUAAAGCAACAGCAUGUUUUUAGGAUAAACUCUCCUUUGGGUAUCUUUGGUCGAUAACAAUUUCACGUGGAGAUUAAAAAGAACGAUGGACAUGUGACACCUAAGAACAUGGAAGCUACACUAAUUACAACACCUUGGUAAGUCUUGGUGAGGGAAUGAUUACGAAAGGAAGCUUGAACUCCACACACUUGAGUUGCAUUGCCUAGCAAGGCAAACUCUAAGUGUGGGGGAGGUAUUUGAGUAUCUCAAGUAAGUUCCUUUUAUGCCAAAUCUUAUCUUGGUUUGGAGAUGGUGUUGGUUCUUGCAUCUUGCCCCACUAAAAAAACAAUAAAAAAAGAGGAGUUACCACGACGGCAAUUCCGAGUUCUUCAUCACCCAAACGCCAUGGUAAGUACCUACAGGUAUGUCCUGCGUUUGACUUUAAACAAAGCCCUUCCGGGAGGCAGCCCGAAGUUCGCCAAUCUUAUACUCAUGUUGAUCCCUCUUUG
RNAcentral lists this long non-coding RNA (520 nucleotides) under Setaria viridis. Its description in RNAcentral is "long non-coding RNA (SVIR_LNC004121)". The record is from RNAcentral. Lineage: Eukaryota; Viridiplantae; Streptophyta; Magnoliopsida; Poales; Poaceae.